This 302-nucleotide ribosomal RNA is filed under the name uncultured bacterium. RNAcentral describes it as "partial 16S ribosomal RNA". It matches the Rfam family "Bacterial small subunit ribosomal RNA", at positions 508 to 809 of the family's 1533-position model. The record is from RNAcentral.
GCAGUCGCCGCGGGAAUACGAAGGGUGCAAGCGUUAAUCGGAAUUACUGGGCGUAAAGCGUGCGUAGGCGGUGAGUUAAGUCUGCUGUGAAAUCCCCGGGCUCAACCUGGGAAUGGCAGUGGAUACUGGCUCGCUAGAGUGUGUCAGAGGAUGGUGGAAUUCCCGGUGUAGCGGUGAAAUGCGUAGAGAUCGGGAGGAACAUCAGUGGCGAAGGCGGCCAUCUGGGACAACACUGACGCUGAGGCACGAAAGCGUGGGGAGCAAACAGGAUUAGAUACCCCGGUAGUCCCUGUCUCUUAUAA